AAGUUGUUGCGGUUAAAAAGCUCGUAGUUGGAUCUGUGUGACACGCUGUCGGUUCACCGUUUUGAUGGUGUUUAACUGACAAGUCGUGGCACCUUUUGCCGGUUGGUAACGUGUUCUCCUUCGGGAGUGAUGCGUUUGCCAGUUCCAAUCCUGUCGCGGUGCUCUUCACCGAGUGUCGAGGCGGGCCGGCACGUUUACCUUGAACAAAUUUGAGUGCUUAAAGCAGGCUUAUAUUGCCGGAAAACUGUGUGCAUGGAAUAAUAUAAUAGGACUUCGGUUCUAUUUUGUUGGUUUUCAGAAUCCGAGGUAAUGAUUAAAAGGGCCUGGCGGGGGCAUUAGUAUUGCGACGUGAGAGGUGAAAUUCUUGGACCGUCGCAAGACUAACUGGAGCGAAAGCGUUUGCCAAGAAUGCUUCCAUUAAUCAAGAACGAAAGUUAGAGGUUCGAAGGCGAUCAGAUACCGCCCUAGUUCUAACCAUAAAUGAUGCCAGCCAGCGAUCCGUCGUCGCUCUUUUAUGACGCGACGGGCAGCUUCAGGGAAACUAAAGCUUUUGGGUUCCGGGGGAAGUAUGGUUGCAAAGCUGAAACUUAAAGGAAUUGACGGAAAGGCACCACCAGGAGUGGAGCCUGCGGCUUAAUUUGACUCAACACGGGAAAUCUCACCAGGCCAGAACACCAGGUGGAUUGACAGAUUGAGAGCUCUUUCUUGAUUUGGUGGG
Molecule: ribosomal RNA, 718 nt
Filed under: Trichadenotecnum incognitum
Lineage: Eukaryota; Metazoa; Arthropoda; Insecta; Psocodea; Psocidae
Also listed under: 1 other name
Description: SSU rRNA
Rfam family: Eukaryotic small subunit ribosomal RNA
Source: RNAcentral